Molecule: long non-coding RNA, 3017 nt
Organism: Orbicella faveolata
Lineage: Eukaryota; Metazoa; Cnidaria; Anthozoa; Scleractinia; Merulinidae
Source: RefSeq, a predicted model, not a curated record
UGGCGUUGUUCUGUUUUUAUUUGCAAUUCUGUGGCUUGUCGUUAUAUUAUAAUAAGUAAAACUUAUUUCAUGCAAGUGGAAGAAAAUGUUUUUAAAAGGUGAAUUUGAACACAUGGCAAUAACAUAACUUUUCACAAGGGCUUCUAUGCCACGUUUUCAGUACGUGGAAUCGAGUGUCGAAAGUAAUCAGGCAAUUACUCUGGUUUUGGUUUUGGUUUAACUACGGUUUGAGAUUGGGCUGCUAGUUUAAUUGGUUUAGAAGUAAUUGGUUUGGUUUUAGUUUUACGACACUCAAUUGAAAACCACUCUACCACUCUACCACUCUGGUCUUCAUAACAAAUAGUGUCCAAGAGCAAAUAGCUGUGCAUAUUUUUGAACCCAGUUGGAAGCUAAAUUCUAGGGCUCAUUAACAUUUUCAGCAGGAGGGUGACUGGUUUCCACAGGUGUACAAAACGUUUUGAACUGUGUUUCUCUGUAAGAAAAACUCUAUCCCAGAUGGCCAAACCAGACUGUCAAUCUGCCUUGGUGCCUGGCCCUUAAUGAAACUCCCUGUCAAUUGUUGAUGUCAUCAAAUUAUUACAUAUCCCUGAAUGCAAGUCCAGUGAUAAUAUUAUUAUAUGGCUAGCUCCUUGGCCAGACAAGAUUACUGUUAACACCGCUGGAUAAGCCGCACCUUUUUACUCAAAAUUUACCUUAAAAAUUGGGCAUGCGGCUUAUCUGCAAGAACCUCUGGACAACAUGCCAUAAAUUUGCAUAAAUUAACACUUUCUAUCAAAAAUUUAUAAGUCAGUUAAGAAAAUUAGUAAGAACUUCAGUAGACAAACAAUAUCAGAGUAUGCAUCAAUCAUUGCUAUUACAAGUUUGAUGGCUCCUAAAAGAAUUGUUUUUGUUCAUAAUCACAAGCUUACAUUUCUUGCUGUUAAACAGCCCUAAACCUUUGUUAAAAAAUCUUUUAGCCAGUGUAAAGCCGCAAUUCUAGCUCAUUCUAGAGCAGCUUUAGAAACUUACAUCGCACAGCAGGGAAUCUCCAUUCCGCCACAAAGCUGCUCAAAGAAAGCUUCAAAGGCUAUUUGUGUCCAGUACUCCAUCUCCUGAUGAAAUGCCUGGCUACUGUGUUAUGAAUGACCAAACGAAUGAAUGGAAGUGUUGUUGUUGUUGUAUGUUAAUUCUAUUGAAAAAUUGACAGGAAUGAAAAAAGAAUCCCAGUUGAAAAAUACUGGAGAAAAAUGAAACAUAUGUCAAAACUGGUAGACAUCAUGUCAGUGCUAUUGUAGAACUAAAAUUUUAGGUAAGGGUUUUAGUUUGAAGCAUUCUCUGUACUCAGUGUUAUUGAGUUUACACCGGUUUACAUUCAUUACAUGUAAAUCAAGAAAAGUACAUGAAAAGAAUGUUUCUCAAGACUUCACUUGUGAAUUAUUUUGAUUUCUUUCCAAAUUUUUUUUACCCAAAUUUGAGUUGCCAAACUCAGAAUGUGGCUUAUUUGCGAGUGCAGCUUAUCCACCAGUGGUUACGGUAACCAAAUCCUGCACUGUGAUUGGCUAUCCCAGCAGGCAAGAUGGCACUAUCUUGCCACUCACAACAGAAAAUUGUUCUUUUUCCCAAAUAAUGAUUCCCAUGUUUACCAACAGCUUGUUCAAUCAAGAUGGCUGAGUAUUGGCCUUGUUCAUUUUGUGUUUAUGGACCUUGACUCCAUUUUGGUCCAUGAACAUGCAAAGAAAGAACUUGGCAUAUCCAGUUACCUUGACCUCACACUUGGUCAAUAACCCAUAUGUAAUUGGACUUGAUGAAGCACAAUUCAGGGUGUAAUCAGGUGAGUAAUUUUGAAUCAAACAAGCUGCAGAACAAGGCCAAUUACUAAUGAUCCCAUCAAUAACCAAUUUCAAGUAAAAAAGAGUCAUUAGGGAAAUUCUUUUGAGCAAAAAAAAUCUUUCUUUUUUCCAUAAGUUUUUAACACUGUAGAAAUUAUUAUGUAAAGUAUGACUACUCAAAUCGGGCCACUUAGAAAAGAAGUAACCAAUCAGAACAUUAGUUGAGAACAAAGAAUAGUGAUCUUUUUCUCAAAUAAAUCAGUAACAUUGAAGAAUACAAACAAUAGAUCUCAACAAAAUUAGAACCCUAAACAAGUGUUGCAGACCUCUCAGGCAACUUUGCCAUUUGCUGCUUGGUUACUUUUGAUCCUAAAUUUUGUGCGCUUUUCAACGGUUUCGGUUUAGUUGCCACAAAAUGAGUUUUCAAGUUAAAUGUUUUAAGCAAGAUUUAUAAUUAUGAUAAUUUGCCAUGAAGUACUGAAUAUCUAAGAGUGUAUAUAAUGCGGAGGAGUUGAUAGUACUUACAUGCUCAUGGCCAGGGCUUUCAUUAAGGGCCGUAACCUAUAACACCUGCCGCGGCUGAGUAUGUUUGAUGGACACUUGAUGUCGCAGGUGCACUGGACUAUAGUUGAUACAAUUCACCUAAAAGGUAACAAGUUUGUUACAGGUGUUAAGUUCAAAGCUGCAGUUAACUCAGAACUUAAUGGCAAUGAAUGGCAAACUGACUCUUAUUACUUGCCAACUGUAGAAAGCUAUCAGUCCACUGUUCUUAGUUUAUGUUUUGAUUGUCAGUUUUAUUCUAGGUGGUCUGGUUUGAGUAGUCGCACUGUAAGCAGAAAGCCAGUAAAGUGCAAAAUGAAACAAAGCAGACUAAAAGGAGUCCAGAUUUUCAAGACAAGACAUGAUGAUAUCAACAUGGAAACAAUUAUUGUACAAAACAGGAGCAACAAUGAAAGAUGUGCUGAGACUUGAGAGGAGAAAGAAUUACGUUGAGGCAUUGGAUUCCAUAUUAAAUACAAACCAGAAAGCCAUGUGCUUAGACUUAUAGGGAGAAAGAUUCAUAUCAAGACAUUAGAUUCCAUAUCAGGUUGUAAAACUUAAGAGACCAAGGAAUUUCAUGAAGAUUAAAACAUUUGCAGUUUCACACUAGACACAAAACAGAGAGGCAAGGAAAAGAGCUAUGAAUCAAGUUGAGACAUUGGAUCCCUU